GUGCAGCAGGCGCGAACCUUGCAAUGCGCGAAAGCGUGACAAGGUGACUCCGAGUGCUCAUGCGUAAGCAUGAGCUUUCCCGAGUGUAAACAGCUCGGGGAAUAAGGGUCGGGCAAUACCCGUGCCAGCCGCCGCGGUAAUACGGGAGGCCCGAGUGGUGCCCGCGAUUACUGGGCUUAAAGCGUCCGUAGCCGGUCCGGUAAGUCCUUGGUGAAAGCCCCAGGCUUAACCUGGGGAGGUGCCAAGGAUACUGCCGGUCUAGGGAGCGGGAGAGGCGAGGGGUACUCCGGGGGUAGCGGUGAAAUGCGUUGAUCCUCGGGGGACCACCGGUAGCGAAGGCGCCUCGCUGGAACGCGUCCGACGGUGAGGGACGAAGGCCAGGGGAGCGACCCGGAUUAGAUACCCCGUAGU
RNAcentral lists this ribosomal RNA (411 nucleotides) under uncultured microorganism. RNAcentral describes it as "bacterial SSU rRNA". It matches the Rfam family "Archaeal small subunit ribosomal RNA", at positions 330 to 745 of the family's 1478-position model. The record is from RNAcentral.